Molecule: ribosomal RNA, 442 nt
Filed under: uncultured bacterium
Lineage: Bacteria
Description: partial 16S ribosomal RNA
Rfam family: Bacterial small subunit ribosomal RNA
Source: RNAcentral
CCUACGGGGGGCAGCAGUGGGGAAUAUUUGGCAAUGGGCGCAAUCCUGACCCAGCAACGCCGCGUGAAGGAAGAAGGCUUUCGGGUUGUAAACUUCUUUUAAGAGGGAAGAGCAGAAGACGGUACCUCUUGCAUCAGCCACGGCUAACUACGUGCCAGCAGCCGCGGUCAUACGUAGGGGGCAAGCGUUGUCCGGAUUUACUGUGUGUAAAGGGCGUGCAGCCGGGAAGACAAGUCAGAUGUGAAAUCCGGCUGCGCAACCGCGGAACUGCAUUUGAAACUGUUUUUCUUGAGUACCGGAGAGGUGAGCGGAAGUCCUGGUGUAGAGGUGAAAUGCGUAGAUAUAAGGAAGAAAACCAGGGGCGAAGGCGGAUGACUGGACGGCAACGGACGGUGAGGCGCGAAAGCGUGGGGAGCAAACAGGAUUAGAUACCCCAGUAGUC